This 680-nucleotide long non-coding RNA is filed under the name Homo sapiens (human). Its description in RNAcentral is "non-protein coding lnc-NADSYN1-1:2". Lineage: Eukaryota; Metazoa; Chordata; Mammalia; Primates; Hominidae. The record is from RNAcentral.
GCCACGUGGGCCGCGCGGAGAACGCGCCAGGCUCAUCACCUGGAUCAUCGUGCCUCAGUUUCCCCCUCGGCAAAUGGGGCUUCAGCGGCUCGCGACGCACAUUGAUGGAGCGUAUGUCCAGGCGCCGGUGCACCGCAAGGAGCAAAACAGACACAGUUCUUGGUCCUAGGGCUCACGUCCCGGGGCGAAGAGGAUCCUCCAUAAACGAUCAGCCAUAGCAGCUGUGAUUGGACAAGAGACUGAUUUCAGUGACUUUCUCCUAAUAAGAGACCACCGACCAGCUGACCAUGCCGACCAGCUGACCCGUUAAUAGAGAGAGAUGAUGCACCUGCAUGCCUUUGUGUCCUGAAAAGACGUUUUGCCAUAAAGGCCCUAAUUGUAAGAUGUGUAAAUGUUAAGUCUCCACCCCAAAGUGAACAUGGGUCAUAUAUUACAUGCUUUGCUCAAUAAGAGGGCAUGUGUCAGGACCACCUUCAUGAAUAUUCAUAGCUCCUCCUGUUACCUGUUGAAUAUGUAUGUUUAGCCAAUCCCUUCAGCAUAGCGCUCCUGCCCCAACCCCUCCUCCUUGGACGUGCCUGUCUCUGGCCUUGGCUGGAGACAGAUUCCCAGCCUCAGACAGAUGGCCGCCACCUUGCAGGCUACGACCGUUUACAAGAAAUAAAGCCUUCUCUUUUUCCAAA